GCCUGGGUGGUUUAGUUCGUUAAGCAUCUGACUUUGGCUCAGGUCACGAUCUCACGGUUAGCAGGUUCGAGCCCUGCGUUGGGCU
Molecule: non-coding RNA, 85 nt
Organism: Felis catus (domestic cat)
Lineage: Eukaryota; Metazoa; Chordata; Mammalia; Carnivora; Felidae
Source: Rfam